RNAcentral lists this ribosomal RNA (605 nucleotides) under uncultured freshwater bacterium. RNAcentral's name for it is "bacterial SSU rRNA". It matches the Rfam family "Bacterial small subunit ribosomal RNA", at positions 8 to 607 of the family's 1533-position model. The record is from RNAcentral.
AGAGUUUGAUCCUGGCUCAGAUUGAACGCUGGCGGCAUGCCUUACACAUGCAAGUCGAACGGCAGCACGGGUGCUUGCACCUGGUGGCGAGUGGCGAACGGGUGAGUAAUAUAUCGGAACGUACCUUAUCGUGGGGGAUAACGCAGCGAAAGCUGCGCUAAUACCGCAUACGCCCUGAGGGGGAAAGCGGGGGACCGUAAGGCCUCGCGCGAUUAGAGCGGCCGAUAUCUGAUUAGCUUGUUGGUGGGGUAAAAGCCCACCAAGGCGACGAUCAGUAGCUCGUCUGAGAGGACGAUCAGCCACACUGGGACUGAGACACGGCCCAGACUCCUACGGGAGGCAGCAGUGGGGAAUUUUGGACAAUGGGGGCAACCCUGAUCCAGCAAUGCCGCGUGAGUGAAGAAGGCCUUCGGGUUGUAAAGCUCUUUUGUCAGGGAAGAAACAGCAGCUCUAACACAGUCUGCGAAUGACGGUACCUGAAGAAUAAGCACCGGCUAACUACGUGCCAGCAGCCGCGGUAAUACGUAGGGUGCAAGCGUUAAUCGGAAUUACUGGGCGUAAAGCGUGCGCAGGCGGUUAUACAAGACAGGCGUGAAAUCCCCGGG